Molecule: ribosomal RNA, 253 nt
Filed under: uncultured bacterium
Lineage: Bacteria
Description: partial 16S ribosomal RNA
Rfam family: Bacterial small subunit ribosomal RNA
Source: RNAcentral
UACGUGGGGUGCAAGCGUUGUUCGGAAUUACUGGGCGUAAAGCGCGUGUAGGUGGCUAAUUAUGUCAGGUGUGAAAGCCCUCGGCCUAACCGAGGAAGUGCGCCUGAAACUGAUUGGCUUGAGUACGAGAGAGGAGGACGGAAUUCCCAGUGUAGAGGUGAAAUUCGUAGAUAUUGGGAGGAACACCGGCGGCGAAAGCGGUUCCCUGGAUCGAUACUGACACUAAGACGCGAAAGCGUGGGUAGCAAACAGG